CACGUAGGGGGCAAGCGUUGUCCGGAAUCAUUGGGCGUAAAGAGCUCGUAGGCGGCUCAGUAAGUCGGGUGUGAAACCCUCAGGCUCAACCUGGGGACGCCACCCGAUACUGCUGUGGCUAGAGUCCAGUAGGGGAGUGUGGAAUUCCCGGUGUAGCGGUGAAAUGCGCAGAUAUCAGGAAGAACACCCGUGGCGAAGGCGGCUCUCUGGGACGGUACUGACGCUGAGACGCGAAAGCGUGGGGAGCGAACAGG
RNAcentral lists this ribosomal RNA (254 nucleotides) under uncultured bacterium. Its description in RNAcentral is "partial 16S ribosomal RNA". It matches the Rfam family "Bacterial small subunit ribosomal RNA", at positions 524 to 776 of the family's 1533-position model. The record is from RNAcentral.